RNA transcript from Aedes albopictus (Asian tiger mosquito), 943 nucleotides. RefSeq lists it as uncharacterized. Lineage: Eukaryota; Metazoa; Arthropoda; Insecta; Diptera; Culicidae. The transcript is spliced from 3 exons. The record is from RefSeq and is a predicted model, not a curated record.
CUGACAGUUUGACUGCGAUCAACGAUCAUUGAUCGAGUUACAGCAUCGUGGUCGGAUCGAAGAAAUGGACACGUUAUCGGAUGAUCUACAUCAACAGACAAGUAGAAGUCUGGGAUCACAAAAUGGGAACUUGGGACGAGAUUCGCCGAAUGGAUCAUCUGUCUCUUCAUACGAACGAGAUCAUGCCAAAUGUGCAUUCAAACCUUGGGUGAUGAUUGCUCUUUUGGGCCUCCACUGCAUCGCGUCCUGGGCGAUAUCCAUUACGGGGAUCAUCUUGAUCUUCAAACCUUUCAGCGAAAAUAGCUCGUGCUAUAUGUUCUACCUGUUGAUAUACCUCCGAGCAGGUUACUGGCUCGGAACGUACAAACUGAAUGAGGAAAUGAAAGUUCCCUGCCGCAAGUUGAUCGAUGAAAACUACGAGCUGUACGAGGGUCUAACCACAUACCGAAAAGCCCCACUGCUGAUCGUCUCGCUCUGGAACACGGCGCUGUUCGUUGUCAUUGGAUAUGCUAAGAAUUUCUUUGAUCAAACCGGGUUAGGAAAUUCGGCAGGCUCCUGUAAGCAACCGUUCGACAGCGAUUUAUUGGGUACAUUACAAUCCCCGCAAACGGUGAUCGUGAUGUUCUGCGUUACUGAAAGCUUAGUGUUGAGCUGUUUCUACGCGGUUGCCGUUGCUCGAUUGAUCAAUGCGUCCGGUGGGAUAUGCGCUGUUCAGUACACCGAACUUCAAGACCAUUUGAAUGCGAAAUUACAACUGAGACAACAGGCAGAGACGAUCAAGCUACUACAGAAACAGCAAGCAGAACUCAAGAAACAAGCGACCUCGAUUGGGAUACUGGAAGAUAAGUAGUUUGUAACAUUUUGUAUACACAUAGUUUUUUUUUUGUUCAGCAUGCGUACGGAUACGUGUUUAGAGUAACAAAUAUAUGUUUAAAUAAGUGUA